CUGUCCCUUCUUUUCAUGACCCGAACCGGCAGCCGCAUCAGAGAGAGAGAGAAGCUGCUGGUGGGGAACGGGGGACAGGAGGCUGCUCGAGGCUUUUGGCGCAGGGUAACGGGAGGAAACUUUUCUUCCCCCCCACCCCCUUUGAAGCAGGGAAGGGAGGGAACGUCUCAGGAGCUGGAGGCAGCUGUGGAGGAGGAGGAAGAUGCAGGGCACAUGCAGGCAGAUCCGGAGCAGGAGGAGCCGGAGCCCAGGCUCCGAGAAACCCCAGAGGACAUCUCCUUUGAAGCUGCUGCCAACACCAUUGCUUUCCACCCCAGCCAGGACAUCCUUGCAGCUGGCGAUGUGGACGGCGAUGUCUAUGUGUAUUCGUACUCUUGCCUGGAGGGUGGGAACCGGGAGCUCUGGUCCUCGGGACAUCACCUGAAAUCCUGCCGGGAAGUGUCCUUUUCCCACGAUGGACACAAGCUCUUCACCGUGUCUAAGGAUAAAUCCAUCCACAUUCUGAACGUGGAGGAGGGCCGACUGGUGACACGCUUCUCCAAGGCUCACAGGGGUCUUCACAGCUCAGCCCUCAACAGCCUGCUGGUGAUAGACGAGCACCUCUUUGCCACGGGGGACGAUGGUGGGAUGCUGAAGGUGUGGGACCUCCGCAAAGGCACAGCCAUCAUGGAGAUGCAGCAGCACGAGGAGUACAUCAGCGGCAUGGCCAUAGACGAGAACAAGAAGCUCCUGCUCACCACCAGCGGCGAUGGAACCAUGGGUGUCUUCAACAUCAAGAGACGGCGCUUUGAGCUGCUCUCAGAGCCUCAGAGUGGAGACCUGACGUCCGUCGUGCUGAUGAAGAGGGGGAAGAAAGUGGCGUGCGGCUCUAGCGAGGGGACCAUUUAUCUCUUCAACUGGGACGGUUUUGGUGCCACUAGCGACCGCUUUGCAGUGAAGGCUGAGUCUAUCGACUGCAUGGUCCCAGUCACGGAGAACGUCCUGUGCACAGGUUCCAUCGAUGGAGUCAUCAGGGCGGUGAAUAUCUUACCUAAUCGGGUGAUAGGCAGUGUUGGACAGCACCUGGGGGAGCCCAUUGAACAGCUGGCCAAGUCCCACACCGGUCAGCUGCUGGCCAGCUGUGGCCACGACCAGAAGGUGAAGUUCUGGGACAUCUCAUCACUCUGCUCCGUGGUGGUGGAUGAUUACCGGAAGAGGAAGAAGAGUGGGCAGCUGAAGGCCCUGAGCAGCAAAGCCUUGGGUGGCAGAGAGGACUUCUUUGCUGACCUGAGAGAGGAGGCAAAGGCACCGAAGGAGGAGCAGGAGAAGGAGAGCGACAGUGAUGACAGUGACUGACGGAAGCCCAGUGGCCUCUGGGAGAUUCCAUGGCCAGAAAGCUCCGUGGGGAUAUGGACUAUGAAGCCAGCAGAUUCUACAGCUGUGGGAAGGAUGCGUCCUCACUGUGUUGUGGAAGAAGCUGGAGGCCGAGCUCAUUUUCCCAUAGAGGACUGGCUCAUCUGGGAGUGUUCCUGCAGGCCAGAGUGCUAGCAGGGCCCUUGGUGCAGCUGAGCUGACGAGGCGCAACGUCCUUCUCUGUGUUCCUCAUUAAAGGCCGAUGGAGGUCGUAUGGGGAGAGGGGCUGGAGCCUCCUGCCAGCUGGGAUCUCCAGGCUUUGUUUGGAAAGAAGCAACAGUCCUGAUGGGGAAAGGAGUUUCUCCAGUUCUCUCUCUCCAGGAGGAAACAACAUACCUUGGCCCCCUCUCCACGCUCUGCCCCAGCCCCUCCCUUGUGAGCUCUUAUGAGCACUGGGUGCCUUAUGGGACCAGGGCUGAGCCCUGAAUUCCUUCCCCACUCCUGCUGGUUGGCAGGAGCCUGGAAGUGAAUGUGGUGGUCUGUGGUCCAGGAGCUCUCUCCAAACUCCUUUGUGCACCAAAGAAUCCCUGCAGUGAACAGUGUGAAUUCCAGCCCCUCUGCAUGGAGCACUGGGCCAGGGCCCUAGAGCAUCUGGCUGUGCUGGUCUAAAGCAGGUGCCUGAGCUCUGGGUGCUGCCUGUGGGAUGACACAGCAGAGGGUUCCCCGUUGCUCAUGUGUCACCAGAGAUGCUGAAAGCCACUUUCUCAGAACUGCUGCUUAGGCACCUGUUGUAACGAGAUGUGGGACAAGGAGAGGAGUGGGAAGAAGAAUCCCCCCCGGCUGCCAGCUGUGUUUCACACCGACCUCCUCCCUGGCCUCUUGAAGUUUGCUACAAAGUACUGAGCUCAGAGCCCCUUUGCUGGCCCAGGCGAUAUGGGCACUGCUGCCAGCUGUAUUUCUGUCAGGCCAGGCUCUCCCCAGCUACCCUCACAACUUCUCCUCCCUCUAAAGGUGUCUUCAAGAAAAACAACAGCUUCUCUCCAAGCUGAGAAGAUUCAUGUAGACAAGAAACUUGGACAAGCCACAGUGCAGGGCCCAGGUGCCGCUGUGUGCUCUGCAUGAGGCAAAGAGGCUUCCUGCGGUCUGGACUGUCCCUGGGUGUGUUGGCCCUGCUGCGAUGAUGGUGCAGGUGAAGCAGAUUUGCUACAUUUGCGUGGGCUACGUCCAGGGCCCCAUGUGCAGUGUCAUCGCCCAGAUGUGCCCAGAAAUCACUGUCACCGUAGUGGAUGUGAACAAGGAGAGGAUCCGGGCCUGGAACUUGGAUCAGCUGCCUGUCUUUGAAGUAUGGCUCAGCAAGGGGCCUGCAUUCCAGUGACUGGGGCAGGGUAUGGGGAAGGGCAGCCUUCUCGCUUUGAUUGCUGCAGAUCACUUGGUGGGGAGAAGGGACUCCCUGCCCCACCCUGGGCUGAGCUGACUCUCCACUGCAACGAGUGUGACUCCAGUCGUGGUAGAGGCUGCGGCACAGAGACCCCAGUGCCUUUUCAAAAGGAGCUGGAGUACGAGAGAAUCCACAAGGCGAUGCUCAAACCAGCCUCUAUCUUUGAUGGCAGGAGAAUCCUGGACAGUUUGCAUGAUUGGUUGCAGCAGUUAGGCUUUCAGGUGGAGACAAUCGGGAAGAUCAGCCAGAGAAUCCUGUUCAUGGCAAAUGACACCAAGCUGGACCUACUGGCUCCCCCUAAAGAAAAUUCCCUGCCUGGGAUCACAUGGUGUGACAUGGACCAAUCCUGGGGCUGAGAUUGUAGCUGCACACAGGGACCCAUCUGACCGCUGUGCCAUCCUGUAGCUCCAGGGCUGACCCUGCUGGCAGGCCCUCCCACUGCAACCGGCUCAACCCAGCCAAAGCCCUGGUGGGCCUGUCCUGCCUAACAUCCAAGCCUUGGCGGAUGGCAAAACUGGUUCUAGGGCAGCUUUUUAACUGUUGCAUUCACAUAAUUUGUGAACCUCAAAGUCCUUCACUUAACUUUUAAACUCCUGCCUUCCAUGUGCUUGUCUCUCUGCAGUGAGUACAUGGCACCAUCCUCCACCCUCUCUGCUGGGCAGGGGUGAGGAUGGAGCCUGCGGGCAGACUGGUCCCCCGUAUUUGUUCCUGCUCAGGACAUUCAUACAGUGUUUCAUUCCAGACUUUCAUAAUAAAACACAUUUGGCUGCCUUUAGGGCA
Chrysemys picta bellii (western painted turtle) is the source of this 3550-nucleotide RNA transcript. It is a transcript of the gene named WD repeat domain 55, with no coding region annotated. The record is from RefSeq and is a predicted model, not a curated record. NCBI's taxonomy places the organism in Eukaryota, Metazoa, Chordata, Testudines, Emydidae.